AGUCACAAAGUGGUGUGUGCUGGAUAUUAAAAACUGUCAUGCUAACAGUAUUGUGGAGUUUUAUUUUUAUGAAUUUGCAUUAUCUUAUUUUUUAUGUCAUAAAGGAAAAAUUUCUAUAAAAUUUUGUGUCUAUACACAAAACAGUGCUAGGAGUUGAUUUUUUUAUAACUUUCCUGCUGCCUCCUCUAUUUUCUAAAUAAAUUAACCUUUUCGCCCAGUCCCAGGCUGCCUGUGGAAUUCUGUGGCUAUUUUAUGUGGCCUUCAAUCCAUUUUACGUGUGUCCAUCUGCCUCACUUCACUCCUUUCUUCUUCUCAAAUGAGCUUCCCAUAAACUUCCGUCACAGAGUGUUCCCCUCUCGUGUGUCCAUCCCAGAAUCUCUCUUCCUCCAGCAAGGACAGCAGUUGUGUUGGCUUAGGGCCACCGUAAUGACCUCAUCUGAAGCUUGCUUACAUCUGCAAAGACCCUCUUUCCAAGUAAGUUUGCAUUCACAAGUGCGGGGGCUUCAGCGUGGGCUUCCAUAAAUGUUUUUUGGGGGGAAGGGAAGGGAGCAGGGGACACACAAUUCAGUCCCAAACCCUCUCUAUCUUAUUUCUCCAACUUCCAAACAGGUGUGGGGGAUGGGAGAAGCUGUUCAACCAGGAUGUGCUCUGAGGUCCCCUUUGGCUCACAGAGUCUGAGGCAGCGGAUGUCCACUGUUCCACGUUCAGACAUUAGGUGGCCUUGAGUAACUGAAAAACCCAAGAGAGACAUGAUGAGAAGGAGGCUCUAGGUCGUUAUACAACAGAUAAGGAACGUGGCCUUUGGAAACAUGAUUCACCUCCAUGCUUGGCAUAGCAGGCUGUUUUAUUUUGCUCGUCACAGUGAUUUUCUUUGUCCUCGUUUUUAUUUAUCUGGAUGAUGGUUGGUCAAAAGUUUUCUAAGCUGAAUUCCCAUCUUACUACCCAUAACAUUACAUAAAAUGAGAUGCUAGAGUUAAAAAAAAAUAAUUGUCACAUCACAACUGAUUUUAGAUGUUGGCAGGGCUGCCAGCUGGAGCAGAUUCACAAGGAAAAUCGACUCCUCUCUGUCCUUCAAGCUAAAAAAAGGCGAGAUAAGAAGAGAGGGCGCUCUGUGAUGAAUAAGGGUGGCUGUGCCUCCAUGGGUGGCUGGAGGAGGAGACCCUUUGAGGCCCUGGGGGUGGGUUGGGGGGGAUUGCAAGCGGGGGAGGCCGGGGGUGGGGUACUGUAGCAUAAAGGGGGAUGAGAACUGUCUAUACUCUCUCCUGAUGUCCCAGUGCUUCAAAGAGAAAACCGUGUCAAAGCCAGGGGAGGGGAAGCACUGAACACCAAGCUGAAUAGAGGACAUUUUCCCAGAGCUCCAGUCUCAGCGUGACAUGUGUACAAAGAUGCAUCUCCCUCCCUCCCGCUACCCCCUCCGCCUGACCUAAGGUGGACACUAGACAGAUAAGCCGGGGCAGGGCAGUGUCCCCUCUAGAAAUCUCUGACUUGUGGGCAGGAAGCGAAAGCUCCAGGAAAAUGGAAUCUUCUCACAGCUGUGGUGCAGUGAGUUAAGUAAGGAUCUGGUGGUGUCAUUGCAGUGGCUUGGGUUGCUGCUGUGGCGUGGGUUCGAACCCUGGACCAGGAUCUCCCACUUGCUAUGGGUAUGGCAAAAAAAUUAAAUAGUGCUAUUUUUUCCCUGAAUCUCAGAAAUUAUUUAGCUAAACAAUGGAUGAUUUCAUUAUAAUGUUCUCAUUACGAAAGCCUAUUCUGUUACUUGCUGCCAAUGCUAGGUGAAAACACUGGGAAUUCACACUGGGUCAUUAUUAUUCUGGUCUUUCUUUGCCAUUCUUUCAGCAGUAGGAGUUAUGGAUUUGUCAGCGUUUCCAUUAUUACCUCUUAUUUUCAAGGCUGCUGUCUUAGUUGCUGAAAUUGCAUUGUACUGGAUGGAAGCCUAGAGGUAAUUUCCUUUCGUAUUAUAGCAGCUGCAUUCUUUUAUGGUUGUGUGUGACUCUGCAAGUGAUUUCAAUAUCUUUUUAUUAAAAAAUUAAUUCAUGCAUAAGUCUCAAUUCUCUCUUUUUUUUAAGUGCAUAUAGCUCUUAUCCAAGAUUGAGGUAUGAAUCAUGUGAGGGAAACAUUUAUGAAGAGUCCACAAUGCAGGAAAGGGGGAGCAACAAAACAAGCCAUGGCAAGAAAGCAAUGAGAUCCAUGGGGCGAUAAUCAGUCAUACUUCUUUAUUGGUCACACAUUGUGUGUCUCUGAGAUUUACAAUAUACAACAGAAGGGAGAGAAGAUAUGGUAUUAAAUUAUAAAUUUAAAAUUAUAUGUAUUCCCCUUGCUAUAGACAUUGGGAUCAUCUCAUCAAAUCUUAGAAUUUCAGUAUCUGAAGACCUUAGGUCUUUUUUAUCCAUUAAUUGUGGGUGUUUAUUCCAUCAAUUCCAUAUUCCCUCUUCUGCCCUCCCAAUAAUAGAUCAGUUAUCUAUUGCUGCAUAACAACCCCCAAACUUAGGGGCUUGUUGUUGUUAAAAAGAUAAUCAUUGAGUAGUUCACGAUUCUGGGGGUUGGCAAUUUGAACUGAGCUCAGCCCGCUGGUUCUUCUGCUGGUCCUGACUGGCUCAUGUCUGGUGGUUGGCUAUGAUGCAGAGGCAACUGUGCCAUGCCUGUAACAUCCAACAGGCUACCCCAGGCUUUUCACUGACCACUGAGUCCCAAAAGCAGCAAAAAAGAGCAGAUCCCAACUCACAAACUCCUUUUAAGCAUCUGUUUGUGUCACACUUGCUAAUGUGCCCUUAGCCAAAGCAACUUCAUAUGCAAAGAAGUUAAGAGAUAAGACUCAUCUCUCAGUGGAAAAGACAAGAACAUAAAAAGAAGUAGGAAUCCAUUUUUGUUUGUUUGUUUGUUUUGGCUACACCUGGGGCAUGCAGAAGUUCCCAGGCCAGGAAUCAAACAUAUGCCCAAGCAGUGACAAUGCUGGUUCCUUAAGCUGCUGGGCUACCAGGGAACUGCUGUUUCUUUUUUUUUGGAAACGAGGAUGCUAUCCUGAUAGCUUCAGCUGAGAUCUCCCUAGUAUCCAGUCUUGCCUGAGAAGAAACAGAUGGGGAGACAGUUAUGGGCCAUACGUGAAGGACCAGAAAAUCUCCUAAGGAAAGUGACAAUUCAUCUAAGGAAAGAGAGAUGAGAGUCACAAGAUUGUCCACGGUCAUUAAGUCAGUGAUGGGGGCAGGCUACAUCUCACCACAGCCCUUGUCUGGCCUUCAGGUGGCCCAAUCCUGCCCCAUGAUUUAGAUUCAAGCCUUGAGGAGAAGAGGCUACAGUAACAAGAACAAAACAGAAUUUCAGUGCAGUUUCUGGGGAAGACAUUGGAAUUUAGAGGGUGAAGGGAGCUUCCUUAUUUGGAUCUUCUCUGGGGAUGGGGGGGAGUUGGGCUGAAUCCAGUCUGCUUCUGGACCAGAGUUGAUGUGGGAGAGGAAAUUGGCCUGUGGCAGCAAACAGGCUAUGAUGGACUGCCCAGGAGAACUCACAGCCUCAGCCGUUCAAAGCAGGCCAUGGGGUCUGCUCCCAAGGGCACACAAAACAUCCUCUAUGAACGGGAGGACAUUGAGGGAACUCAGGGCUUGUACCCACGUUCAAGUCAUAGCUCCUGUUUUGUUUUGUUUUCUUUUCACUUUGUUUAUUUUGUUUCUUUUUACAGCCACGCCUGUGGCAUAUGGAAGUUCCCAGGCUAGGGGUCAAAUCGGAGGUGCAGCUGCAGGCCUAUGCCACCGUUACAGCAACAGAAGAUCCGAGCCCCAUCUGCAGUCUACACUGCUGCUUGUGUCAACAGCAGAUCCUUAACUAACUGAGAGAAACCAGGGAUUGAACCCGCAUCCUCCCAACAUUAUGUCAGGUUCUUAACCUGCUGAGCCACAGUGGGAACGCCCAUAGCUCCUGUUUUUAAGCCAGAGUGUGAGUAUGUGUGUGUGUGUCAGUGAUGAGGUAUAGGUAGUAACUGACAUAUAAAGGAAAAGUGCUAGAGAAGGGGAUCUGGGAGCCCCGGAUCAGAGAGAGGCUUCAGGGAAGGGAUAAGACCAAGGGUGGAUCUGCAAAUAUGGGAGGACUUGUGUGAGGGUUAAGAUGAAAAAUAUUCCAAAGGGUAAUCAGAGUAGUCUACCCACGAGGGUAGUUAAUACUUUACUGAGAAACCUACUCUUUUACUAGAAAUUUCUUUGUCUUAGCUCAUGGUGGUGGAGACAUGAGAGAAAUUGUAGGAUCAGGAAUUUGGGAGGAAGAAUGUUCCCAGAUACCUCUGGAAUCUCAAUAUUUAUAACCACUAGGAAAAUGAGGUUACUUUAGCAAUGGCAUUGGUGAACUACUUCUGGAGAAUAAAUGAGUGGGGUGCAUGUGUGUGUGUGUGUAAAAUACGGGCAGGAGGAAGCAGAAAGAACAUAGAAGUCUUAUAUAAAAUGAUGACCGACAUAUAACACAUUUAUUAAUAUGUAUUUAUUAUAUAUAUUUAUACGGGAAGACUCCUGCAAGUAUUAAUAUGUACUCUAUCUUGUUGCAAAAGAAAGGGUAAUUUAAAUUAAUACAUCUAUAUAUUAUACAUUAUAUAUUAUAUACAUAUAACUUGAAGGUACAUUUUAAAUAAGAAUGAAAUAAUUUUUCCAUGAAUUUUUUUUCACAUUGCUGUAUUAAUAGCUUUGUGUACAUGGGGCAGGUUGAAUGGCUCUUACUUCAUCUGACCUACAUAAAGAAAGCAGGUGUCUGGGAGUUCCCAUUGUGGCUCAGCAGGUUAAGAACUUGACAUAGUCUCCAUAAGGAUGCGGUUUGAUCCCUGGCCUUGCUCAGUGGGUUAAGGAUCUGGUGUUGCACUGAACUGCACAGUAGGUCAUAGAUGUGGCUCAGAUCCAGUGUUGCUGUGGGAUAGGCCUCAGCUGCUGUUCCAAUUUGACCCCAAGCUUGUGAACUUUCAUGUGCCGCAGGUUCGGCCAUAAAGAGGAAAAAAAAAAAAAAAUCAGCUGUCUGACUGUUGUGCAAGUUAGGUCCCUUCUGGGUCACCACCUAUGGUGCAUCAAGUUUGGAAUGAAUUCCACAAUAUCACCCAGUUGAGUUAAGGAACAGGCUUUAUUGGGGAAAGGUAAAACCUAUAAGGUGGAUCACACAGAAAGAGAGAACUGGGUUUCCCACCUCCUGUGGUCCCACAGAGAGACAGGCAAGGGAUUUCUGGAAGAAAUGUAGUGUGGAUUUACAUUUCAAUAGAGGAACUAUGUCCUUUCUUUGUCUCCUUUUUCCACAAGGCAAGUAUAAGAAAGCUGUCUUGUCAGUGGGGGAUACUCAGGCAGCUUGAUCCAAGCAGCCUGGAUUUGGAGGCCCAGCUGUUUACAGGGGUUGCUAGGAAAGCCAGCAGCCAGGCUCCAUAUGAUGCUGCACAGGAAGGACACCACCAGUCCCAUGGGAAGCUGAGCCUAAGUGUAGCACUGGGAGAAGGAAGUCUCUGGUCCCUGAUGGCUCAUUGUCCAGAAAAUCAGAGUGAACUUCCACAAUCAUUUCAGAUUAUUUUGCUCAUCCCACUACCCAUAAUGAGAAGUCUGCAGCCAGGAAGCCUGAAACUUGCUAUGGUGGCCUUAAAAAAUUCCCUUUACUGGUCUGACCCUAACUAGAGAUUCUAGUUCUCUAUUCUACCCUACUCUCUAGGUUGUUAGAGAGUCAAAUGAAAGUGACAAACAACUGAAAUGGGAGGCUGGCAAUAUAGCUAACAAUAUUUUUCAGCAACCUGGUUUUAGACAUUUAAUUAAAAUUAAAUCAUACAAGUGAAUGUUGGUAAUUUAGCCAAAAUGUGCCUUCCAAAAUGCAGCCCAGUAGCCAGUACAAAUUAUUCCCAUUCUUCCAAGGCUCCAAGUCCUCGAAUUCAGUAUAGUUAAAAAAUUAUACUCAGAAUAGUGAACUGGAGGAAUUUCAACAUCCUUGAUCAUCAAAAAGGAGGAAUGUGGACCAAAACACAGGGGAGAAAAAUUAGCCAAAUAUUUAAAUCAAAAACAAAAAUAAUCUCUAAUACCAUAGAUAAAAAUAAACUCAAAAUGAACUAAAGACCUAAAUAUAAGACCAGAUGCUAUAGAACUCUUAGAGGAAAACAUAGGCAGAACACUCUCUGACAUAAACCACACCAAUAUCUUCUCAGAUCCACCUCCUAAAGAAAUGAAAAUAAAAACAAAAAUAAAAAAAUGGGACCUAUUUAAACUUAGCACAGCAAAGAAACCAUAAACAAAAUGAAAAGACAAUCCACAGAAUGGGAGAAAAAUAUUUGCAAAUGAAGCAACUGACAAAAUAUAUGAACAACUCAUUUAGCUUGAUAUCAAAAAAUAACCCAAUCAAAAAAUGGGCGAAAGAUCUAAACAGAUCCAAAGAAGACAUACAGAUGGCAAAAAAAA
This 6383-nucleotide long non-coding RNA is filed under the name Sus scrofa (pig). RNAcentral's name for it is "lncRNA (ENSSSCG00015042360.1)". Lineage: Eukaryota; Metazoa; Chordata; Mammalia; Artiodactyla; Suidae. The record is from RNAcentral.